Molecule: ribosomal RNA, 254 nt
Filed under: uncultured bacterium
Lineage: Bacteria
Description: partial 16S ribosomal RNA
Rfam family: Bacterial small subunit ribosomal RNA
Source: RNAcentral
UACGAAGGGGGCUAGCGUUGUUCGGAAUUACUGGGCGUAAAGCGCACGUAGGCGGACAUUUAAGUCAGGGGUGAAAUCCCGGGGCUCAACCUCGGAACUGCCUUUGAUACUGGGUGUCUUGAGUAUGGAAGAGGUAAGUGGAAUUGCGAGUGUAGAGGUGAAAUUCGUAGAUAUUCGCAGGAACACCAGUGGCGAAGGCGGCUUACUGGUCCAUUACUGACGCUGAGGUGCGAAAGCGUGGGGAGCAAACAGGG